This 468-nucleotide ribosomal RNA is filed under the name uncultured bacterium. Its description in RNAcentral is "partial 16S ribosomal RNA". It matches the Rfam family "Bacterial small subunit ribosomal RNA", at positions 28 to 507 of the family's 1533-position model. The record is from RNAcentral.
GACGAACGCUGGCGGCGUGCUUAACACAUGCAAGUCGAACGGAAAGGCCCUGCUUUUGUGGGGUGCUCGAGUGGCGAACGGGUGAGUAACACGUGAGUAACCUGCCCUUGACUUUGGGAUAACUUCAGGAAACUGGGGCUAAUACCGGAUAGGAGCUCCUGCUGCAUGGUGGGGGUUGGAAAGUUUCGGCGGUUGGGGAUGGACUCGCGGCUUAUCAGCUUGUUGGUGGGGUAGUGGCUUACCAAGGCUUUGACGGGUAGCCGGCCUGAGAGGGUGACCGGCCACAUUGGGACUGAGAUACGGCCCAGACUCCUACGGGAGGCAGCAGUGGGGAAUAUUGCACAAUGGGCGGAAGCCUGAUGCGGCAACGCCGCGUGCGGGAUGACGGCCUUCGGGUUGUAAACCGCCUUCGCCUGUGACGAAGCGUGAGUGACGGUAAUGGGUAAAGAAGCACCGGCUAACUACGUG